GUGGUGGGGCGGAUGGUCGCGGUUGGCGCUUCGGUACCAAUCGAGGAAAGUCCGAGCUCCACAGGGCAGACUGCCAGGUAACGCCUGGGCGCCGGAAGGCGACGGACAGGGCCACAGAAAACACACCGCCUGCCUCGGCAGGUAAGGGUGAAAAGGUGGGGUAAGAGCCCACCGCACGCCUGGCAACAGCGCGUGGCACGGUAACCCCCAGUCGGAGCAAGGCCAAAUAGGCGGCGAUGGUCCGGCCCGGACCGCCUGAGCCGCGGGUAGGCUGCUAGAGGUGUCGGGUGACCGACAUCCCAGAGAGAUGACCGUCGGCCCGGCAACGGGCCACAGAACUCGGCUUACAGCCCCGCCACGCCC
RNAcentral lists this RNase P RNA (363 nucleotides) under Gemmatimonadota bacterium. RNAcentral's name for it is "RNase P RNA component class A". It matches the Rfam family "Bacterial RNase P class A". From Rfam's summary of the family: Ribonuclease P (RNase P) is a ubiquitous endoribonuclease, found in archaea, bacteria and eukarya as well as chloroplasts and mitochondria. Its best characterised activity is the generation of mature 5'-ends of tRNAs by cleaving the 5'-leader elements of precursor-tRNAs. The record is from RNAcentral. Lineage: Bacteria; Pseudomonadati; Gemmatimonadota.